This 498-nucleotide ribosomal RNA is filed under the name uncultured bacterium. RNAcentral describes it as "partial 16S ribosomal RNA". It matches the Rfam family "Bacterial small subunit ribosomal RNA", at positions 29 to 507 of the family's 1533-position model. The record is from RNAcentral.
ACGAACGCUGGCGGCGUGCUUAACACAUGCAAGUCGAACGGGCCCGCUCUCUUUUUUGGGGGUGGGUUGAGUGGCGAACGGGUGAGUAUCACGUGAGUAACCUGCCCCCUGCUCCUGGAUAACUGCUUGAAAGGGCGGCUAAUACGGGGUGUGCCGGCUGGUCCGCAUGGGCCUGGUCGGGAUAGUUUCAUCUUCGGGUGUUUCGGUGGGGGAUGGGCUCGCGGCCUAUCAGCUUGUUGGUGGGGUGAUGGCCCACCAAGGCGGUGACGGGUAGCCGGCCUGAGAGGGUGGGCGGCCACACUGGGACUGAGACACGGCCCAGACUCCUGCGGGAGGCAGCAGUGGGGGGUAUUGCACAAUGGGCGGAAGCCUGAUGCAGCGACGUCGCGUGAGGGAUGGAGGCCUUCGGGUUGUGGACCUCUUUCUCCGGUGGUGAAGGCCCUGUCCGUUGCGGCGGGGUUGACGGUAGCCGGGUAUGAAGCGCCGGCUAACUACGUG